This 804-nucleotide long non-coding RNA is filed under the name Mytilus galloprovincialis (Mediterranean mussel). The record is from RNAcentral. Lineage: Eukaryota; Metazoa; Mollusca; Bivalvia; Mytilida; Mytilidae.
GGGGAGGGGUAAACUAUUGAAUUUGUUUCAUUUAAACAGGAGGAAAAAAAUAAAAAUAAUAGAUAAGAAUACUCUUCUAGCUCCACAGUAUCCAAAUAAUAGAAAAACAUUCAUAAAGAUAGACUAGAAUGAGAUUUACAGAUCAUUUAGUAGACAUGACUGAUUUCCAAAUUUUGCCUGUUUUCAGAAAGGGGUACUGCUUUAAUAGUGGGGUUAUUUUUAUUAUUACAGCCAAACAGUUCUUAUAAUGGCAUUUUUUAUGUUCAAAUAUGGCUCCUUAAUGAAACUAAGUAAAUGAAUUAUUUUUUUAAGACAUGUCAUUAUUGUUAUAGGUACCAGUCUUGUAUUACAACUCCAGUUUCCGGUGCAUGUCAAAACAUAGAGGGAAACAAAAUAGUGCAUUUUUUUCUGAAUUUUUUUCUGAACUGAAUUUUUUCUGUUUGAUUAAAGGUUUAUGCUGAAUUGAAACAUAUAUAUAUAGACUUUAAAAAAAACCUUGCAUCUUUUGGGGAUAUCAAUCCAGGAAAGUGGAAGUAUAUCAUGUUUACUGGAAGUGGUGCGGCCUAGUAAAAUAGCAAACAGAAAGUAGAAAAAAAAUGUUUUGACUUCAGGAUUGCGUAACUUUUUAUUCUUCGUGGCAAGACCCCCUUUUUUUUCGAUUAAAUCACAAUUUCACAUUAGUACAUACAUGAUAUGAACAUGAAAUUUUUUUCUAUGUAGCAUUUUUUAUUUUUUUAUUUUCAAAGAUCAGCUGUUUUGCAUGUAAGCCUAUGGAGCAGUCAAUUACAAGACUGCAACCUACAG